Long non-coding RNA from Arabidopsis thaliana (thale cress), 246 nucleotides. RefSeq annotates it as other RNA. NCBI's taxonomy places the organism in Eukaryota, Viridiplantae, Streptophyta, Magnoliopsida, Brassicales, Brassicaceae. The transcript has a single exon. The record is from RefSeq.
AUCGAACACGCGACCUUCAGAUCCACGCUCACCGCACUAUUAGAGUCCUCUUGCCGAAUAUAUUUUAUUGUAUCCAUUACAGUUUUGGCCGUUGCUACGACAUAAAAUUUCAACUGUUUCAACAUUGUUAUAGUGAUGUGGCAAUCUAUAUCUUAUGUGAUUAGAUCAUUGUUGACUUUUAAUGCUCACGAAUCCAAUCUAUCGUUGCUAUGCUAAUCUUAUUCUUGUUAGUGUUUUCUUCCUUAU